RNAcentral lists this ribosomal RNA (254 nucleotides) under uncultured bacterium. Its description in RNAcentral is "partial 16S ribosomal RNA". It matches the Rfam family "Bacterial small subunit ribosomal RNA", at positions 524 to 776 of the family's 1533-position model. The record is from RNAcentral.
UACGUAGGGUCCAAGCGUUAUCCGGAAUCACUGGGCGUAAAGCGUUUGUAGGCGGAAAUUUAAGUGAGAUGCGAAAUCUUGUGGCUCAACCAUAUAGACGGUAUCUCAUACUGGGUUUCUAGAAGAUAGCAGAGGUAAGUGGAAUUAGUAGUGUAGCGGUAAAAUGCGUAGAUAUUACUAGGAACACCAAUGGCGAAGGCAGCUUACUGGGCUAUAUUUGACGCUGAGAAACGAAAGCGUGGGGAGCGAACAGG